UUUUUUCUUUAAUGAAACAAUGUGUUUAAU
This 30-nucleotide non-coding RNA is filed under the name Mus musculus (house mouse). The record is from RNAcentral. Lineage: Eukaryota; Metazoa; Chordata; Mammalia; Rodentia; Muridae.